CGUAUAGUUUAAAAAAAAUAUAGGUUUGUGGUUCCUAAGUUGAAAUUUUUUUAUGAACAAUU
This 62-nucleotide transfer RNA is filed under the name Thlaspida biramosa. Its description in RNAcentral is "tRNA-His". The record is from RNAcentral. Lineage: Eukaryota; Metazoa; Arthropoda; Insecta; Coleoptera; Chrysomelidae.